Non-coding RNA from Microcebus murinus (gray mouse lemur), 730 nucleotides. The record is from RefSeq and is a predicted model, not a curated record. Lineage: Eukaryota; Metazoa; Chordata; Mammalia; Primates; Cheirogaleidae.
GUCGGCCUGCAGCGUGGACGCCGAUCUCUGGGUCAGAGGGCAUGGGGCUAAGGUUCCAAGAUUCCUGGCCCCGGCCUUGAUAAAUGCCCUUUAGCACAUCUUUAUGGUGAGAACAGACAGACCUGGAUGGUGCAGAUGAGCGGAGGUCCAGGUGGCCAAGGGACUUCACGCUGAGGAUGGAGCCCUGGGGCGGAUUCUCGUUUCUCCUCUUGGCUGCCUGGGGCUCUCCCAACCCUUCACGCUCUCAAUCUUGUAAAAGUAACUCUCAUGACCUUCGGGUGGCUCAUCAAUGUGAUUCCAUUUAGAAGCGAUUAUAUAAAGUGAUAUCUAAAUGUCAAAUAAUAAUGGUAGCUUAACCAUCUGCUUUAACUGAUCACGUACCCUGACAUUUUAGGACUUUCUCAUCGUGCUCUGCUUGGAUAUUUAAAAUGUUCUUCCCUGAAUCAUCCUAAAGCUUCUAAAAAUUCCACCGGUGAAUUAUCACAUGAAAACUUCAUGGAAUCCCUGAGCUCCAAGGUCCUGAUAUUAGGGACAGCGAGGACCAGUGGGAAGAUGGCUGGCUUCGGAGCAAGACACACUGGAGUCAGCAUGUCAGCUCUGUGGCUCCCAGCCCUGUCGUCUCUGGUGAAUUGCUAAAGCCUCACUGGGCCUCAGUUCCUUGCUGUAGUAGGGGAGAAUAAUAUUCGCUGUAUGGUUUUUCUGUGAGGAUUAAAAGAGAUAGCAAAUGUAA